CCUCGGGCCCGUAACUGCGGGCGAAGAAGGGCUGGCGACUACACUUCCCAGAGGUCCUCGCGCGUGGGUCCCACCCGGGCAGCCGCGGAGGACGCCGCGCUUUCACAGUCACCCCAGUAGGGACCGCUAUCUGGGCCGAAGGAGUCAGAGAGUGGACUCGAGUACCCCUGUGUCCGCUCAUUCCGGUGAUAAUCACUGAGCGCCUGCUCUGCGCCAGGAGCGUGUUGCCGGGGGGCGAGGGAGGGGAGGGCACAGCGGUAGAUCCGGCAGGAAAGAUCCUGCUUUGUGGGAGCGAGCGUACACUCCUGUGGACGAGGUCAAUAGCAAAAAUGUAAAUCCACCAACUAGAUAAUUUCAGGUGCUGCCUUCAGCUGUAGGAAUAAGACAGUGAAGGGAGUGGAGCAACGUUACCUCUUCUAUGCCGUCUUCACCCUUGAGUCGCUACCAAAGGUUGGGACCCUGCUUCCUCAGACCAUGUAUGCUACGACUAGGAUCCUUGAUGAACUGGUGGAUACCACAGGGGGGAAAACCCUCAGGGUCGAAGAUGAUUGCAAGCUUUAUCAAGAGGAUGGACAUUAAAAAAAACAAUGCUGCAGGAGUUCCUAUUGUGGCGCAGCAGAAACGAAUCCGACUAGGAAAUGUGAGCUUGCGGUUUCAAUCCCUGGCCUCACUCAGUGGCUUAAGAAUUGGGUAUCGCUGUGAGCUUUGGUGUAGGUCGCAGACAUGACCGGGAGCUCACAUUGCUGUGGCUGUGGCCUAGGCCGGCAGCUGUAGCUCUGAUUCGAACCCUGGCCUGGGAACCUCCAUAUGCCUCCAGUGGGGCCCUAAAAAGACAAAACACAAACAAAGGAGACAGUGCUUUCCACUACUGCCGAAUGAAUAUAAUGCUCUGGAAAUUCAGAAAGAAGACUGAGUGGUCUAAGGAAGCCUCGCUGAGGCAGGGACUCAGUAGAGUGAGACUUAAGGAAACAAGUGCAAGAACAGGAGGGAGAGAAGGAUUCCAGGCUGCAGGAACUGAGGAAUCCAAAGCCCCAAGGUGCCUACAGAUUGAUGUGUUUGAGAAACUGCUGCCAAAUAGAUGUAGUGAAACAUGGAGGAGUGGGUGGGGUAGAGGUAGGGCAGAUAGGCUGGGGUCUGAUGCACAGGGUUUUGGAGGCUGUCAUUAGGAGUAUGGGUUGUACACUGGGUUUGAUGGAAACCACUGGGUUAGCAGCAGCAAUGGAAUCGUUUACUACUAUGAGGGGAUAAAAUAAGCUUUCCCUUUUGUCCCAGAAUCUGUAAGAAGGACUCAGAGCUGAGAUUAAAUUCGUCUACAUUCAAAAGAGAGAAAAAAAUGUCAUUUUUCAGAGACCUAGAAGAAAUAAUUCUAAAAUUUCUGUGAAAAUGCAAAACACACGGGUUCCCUUCAGUGCUCAGUGGUGAAAAACCAGCCUGGUAUACGUGAGGACUCAGAUUCUAUUCCUGGCCUCAUUCACUGGGUUAAGGAUCCAGCGUUGCCAUGAGAUGUGGUGUAGUUUGCAGAAAAGGCUCUGAUGCAGAGUUGCUGUGGCUGUGGUAUAGGCUGGCAGCUACAGCAACCAUUCGACCCCUAGCCCGGGAACUUCCAUAUACCACAGGUACACUCUUACAAAAAAUUUAAAUUAAAAAAGGGGGAAAAAUGGUCUCCCCGUCCUUUUAUUCUAUAUCUAUAUGGUGUGAUGGAUGGUCCCUGGACUUAUAGUGAGAGUCUCUGCCUGAUGUCCGUGAGUCAAAGUAUGCUGGACACCUGGCACUUGUACAGUGCUCUACUCCAUUAGUUCUCAAUCAACCUGGAAGGAAAAAAGGAAACCAAAAACCAUCUGGGGUCAGACACCUCAGGUCUUACAAAGGGGGUCCGGGCGAUGAAUUUUCCCUGCUUCGAUCAACCGGUGCGCCAAAGCCGCCCCCCCCUUUCCGGGCGGCACCCCAAGCCAGGAUGGGAAAGGCGAGGCAGAAACCUUGAGGGGGGCAAGGCCGCCCCCUUGUGGCCAAUGCGAGGCUCUACCGCUAUCCCAAGAUGAAUGUCAGAAAGCAAAGCACUCUCCACGUCGUCGAGAGCACCCAGCAGAGGGGUAGCCUUUAGGAAGCCCCCAAGGCCUCCCCAAAGUAAGGGCAAAGGGGCAUCAGAUGAGAACAGGCCGAGCGGAAGGGGAGCAGCCUGACGUUUCCUCGUGUUCAUGGUAAGGGGAUGCAAAGGAAGACAAUGGGGCUUUAGCUCCCAGCGGAGGUGAGAGAUGGAUGCGCCUCACCGCGGCAGGAGCCUGUGAAUCACCUGGCUGGGAGAAGGCACGGGGGAGGGUGGAAGAGCGAGCAGACCCUCCAAGUCCGGGGGAAGUGGGGUCCCUGGAAAGAACUCACAAACCGACUUGCAUUUUGGCUGUGGGACUAAAUAGCUGUAAUGCUGGAUGAAAUAUUUCUGAAAUCGUUUAAAGUGAAUUGGCGGGUUAGAAAACUGGGAAGGCAUACAGAGGCCAAAAAGGAAUCAAAAUUGAUAAUGGAGAGUGGCGGAACACUGAAAGCGACUUUUCACCUGGACGUCAUUUGACAAGUGAGGCCGACCCGAGCUUCAUUUUUAAUGCUCCUGUGAUCCCAGGGGCCAGGUGAAGAAACCCAAAUCCCAUCCAUCGUAGGGGGUCUACGAGCGCUCCCUUGUGCACCCGAGGGAGCACACACUCACACCUUUCUCCAGCCUGCGAGCUGCACCUGGCGCCCUCGUGUGGACACCGGCUCUAACAGCCACUCAGGUUUUCCUCCUCUUCCUGGCUGAGCAGUCCCCGGCGGGGGCUGCCUUGGCCUUGGGCAAUAGGCUAGAUGGAUUUCCUCGCCCCGCGUUCAAGAGAUACCAAGAAGUGCCCUUCCAAGUGGGCUCUUUGUUUUUCAAAGGCUUUCAGAGCCCUGGGGCCAACCUACGCCAGGUCUCUCCAGUUAAAUGCUCAGCCUCCGCCCCAUCAUGUCAUGAUAGCCUUCUUUUGCAUGUAUUCUUGCACUUUUGUAUUUAUGAAUAUAUAACUUUUUUUCUUUAAUUUCCCAACUGGUAUUAUUUGAUUCAUAAAACAAAGUCUCGCUUCUUUCUUUUUUUCUCUUUCACUCUUUCCCUCUUUCUUUCUUGAUUUAGUGAUCCCACCAAAAGUGUGUGUGAGUUGUCUGCCCACUGACAGUUUUCAAACCACACAGGAUCCCAAACCCAACCCAGUGACAAAGAUAAAUCUUUCAUCCAGGGAUCCAGAAGGGAACUCAGUGAGAGCUUUCAUUUUAUCAAUCUACAUGCCUUAAUUCACCCAACCUGGCUUUAAAUUGUGGCUUCACACAAGAUGUAUAUAGAGAACAAAGAGGCUCACAUGUAAAGAAAAUGACAGAGUUUCAGGAGACCUCUUAAGAGAAAAAGCACAGAGAUUAGUGCAGCUGCUCAACAAAAUACGACCGUUUCACCACAGAGUCCUUCCCACAGAGUCACUGAACCUCCUUCUGGUCCCUCAUCCACAUUUGAGCGCUUUCAUUGCUCCGCCUGCCUGGGUGAAGAAGGAACUGCCUCUGCCUCAGGCUCAGCUUUUCUGCAACCUGAUUCCCCUCUGCCACAGAGCUUGAGGAAGUCAUAGGUUCUGGGGUUCUGGACAACUUUGGGCAGUGAUUCUGCCCCCUGGAGGCAGAAGGGUAAAGGGCAGGAGGAGACCUCUCCUGGGAGUAAGGUGCCUGAAGGUGGGCUGUCAGGAAGCCCCGCCCAGACAAGAGGUAGAGUCUAUUCUAAAGGUAGUAGAGGCGGGUGGGCAGGCCCUUUUUACAAGCUCCACCUGGGGUCCUGGUCUGUGGAGGAGGGCAGAGCAGAGAGCAAGGGGCCAGUGAGGAGCUGCAGGCAGGGAAGGGGGAGGAGAGCAGAGGGGGCAGGGCAGGAAAUGUGAGGGUGGGAGGUGGAGGGAAGGUGGGAGGGAGCCCAUGGGGCCUGAGUCUGGAUGGAGGUAAGGAAUGGGAAGCCAGCCAGGUGCUUUGGGGCAGCUGAGUGGACGUCCCCAUAAGAGAUCAGUAGCCCAGGUCCACUGGCAGCAAUGACGGAGGGAUGAGGGUUCUGAAUGGAGGGGCGAGAGGCCCCUGGAGAAUUCACCCUAGUCAGCCUCUGAGCCAUCCCAACAUUUGUCCACUCUGUUCCUUGACUUCCAGCCAGUGGGGGGGUGGGGUGCAGGUGGACAAGGCACUUCACUGAGUGGAGGACUCACCAAGAGUAGCAGACAGGAAUGAGGAAAGGGGGAGGGGCGCACCCUCCUCGGCUGUAGUCACCUUGGGGUCAGCGUCAGGCGCAGGUGGGCCUGCAGGUGUGGAUGUGCCUUGGGGAUCCACUUCCAUCCACUGAGGUCACCUACCCUGGUCGGGACUGUGACAAGGGCCACUCAGGGUGGAAGGGCUGGACACUUCCAUGGAGGACUUGAUGGUCUGUUGACCAAUGUGCUCAGAGAACGCUGCUGUGGGCACUGGGGGGACAAGGCAACAGAGCCCUGGAGUGAGAUUCUUGUCUGCUGCAGCCCUGGGAUCCAGUGACCACAGUGAUGGACAGUGACCAGAGCUCAGCCAUUCAGUCAGGUCAUGCUCACUUCCAGUCCACUGACCACUGAGCCCUGUGGUCACACCCAGGAAAGCCUCACAUCCUGGUCCUCUAACUACUGGCCCCUGAAAUCACCCUCAGGACCCCUUCAUUUCUUCAUUUCCCUAUCCUCUGGCCACUGGGAACUGUGGUCCCACUCAGGACAACUUCACCUCCUUUCCUCUGACCACCGGACCCCGUGGUCACAAGUAGCACUCCUCAUGUCCUGUCCUCUGACCACUGGAUGCCACGGUCACAGGCAGGAGGUCCUCAAGCCCCCUGUGAGGGCCUGGUCAGCCAGGAGGAUCUGGCGACCCCCAGCUGGGCAGUGAGGUCCCCACAGUGUGAGUCCAUCUGGAAGUGGGGGUUGCAGCCGGUGCUGGGAUGGGGGCAGAUCAGCAAUGGGAGGUAGCUCCGCCCACACCCGCAGGAGCGGGAGUUUCCAUCCAGUCACAGCCCAGCGUGUUGGAUGACUGCGCAGGCCCCCUGUGGGAGGAGAGAUGCUAGGGGAGGCAGAGCUGCGGGCCGAGGCCGAAGACGCUGCGGGCUCGGAGGUCGCAGGUUCUACCCAAAGUUCACUCUUCCACUUCCAUCUAAGCUGCUUCUUCCUGUGUCCAACGUCUGUUUCAGGAGUGGACCACAGGUAGGUGAUUGAAUUAAAGAAGGCUCUCAUGAGCCAUUGUGUGGGGAGGCAGGGAAUUUUAAUGCAUUUGGGUGGCGUAGGUUGGGUGAGUGCUCUGGUGGACACUGAGAGAGAAAUAGCCCAGUCUGUAGGGCACAUCAUGGCACUGGAAGGGUGAGGAGGGAGGAAAUCAAGCUGGCAGGUGCAAAGGCCAGCGCAGUCCUGGUGAGCUGCUGAAAGAAAUGAAAGGGAGCACUGAGUUGUCGUUAGAGAGGAAGGCUGCCAGCUGUGCCAGACCAGCAGCAGAACCCAUCUGUACCUUCCUGGCUGCACCUCCAGACUCAGAGGUGCGAUUGAAGCUGGGUUGGUAGAACCCCCAGGAUGUACCCAGGGCUGUGGUGUUGGUUACAAGGCGCCCAUAAUUGCCCAACCUCAGUGUGGGGUCACACCUGGGACUUCAAAAUCUGACUGGCAUUUCCAGCCUGGUCGUGGAGCCCAGGGGUCAGAGAGUUUGACAUGUUCUCUGGAGUUGGACUUCCCUUGUUUCAGGAGAGGCACAAUUUAGGACCCAGAAACAUUGGUCUUGAAUCCUGAGCUUGCAGUUUUCAUGUCUCUGGCUUCCGUGGGUUUAUCAUGUACAGAUAAGGGCUGUUAUCCAUGAAGGGAGAACGUAAAAGCUGUACUAUUUUGGUUGGUGGCUGUGCGAAUUGCUGUGGCUUUUCUCUUAGGACAUGGCCCUAAAUUCCUUCUUUUCUAUCCCUUGAGCCUCUUUUUCCUGUAUCCUUUUUCUGUUUCAGGGAGCAGCCGUAAAAGUACUU
Molecule: non-coding RNA, 6028 nt
Organism: Sus scrofa (pig)
Lineage: Eukaryota; Metazoa; Chordata; Mammalia; Artiodactyla; Suidae
Source: RefSeq, a predicted model, not a curated record